Molecule: small nucleolar RNA, 196 nt
Filed under: Pelobates cultripes (western spadefoot toad)
Lineage: Eukaryota; Metazoa; Chordata; Amphibia; Anura; Pelobatidae
Rfam family: Small nucleolar RNA U3
About the family: Small nucleolar RNAs (snoRNAs) are involved in the processing and modification of rRNA in the nucleolus. There are two main classes of snoRNAs: the box C/D class, and the box H/ACA class.
Source: RNAcentral
AAGACUAUACUUUCAGGGAUCAUUUCUAUAGUUUGUAACUCGUGGAAUGUGCUCGAAAGUGUCUAAACUCAGUAACCACAAGGAAGAGAUUCAGGGUUUUCUCCUGAGCAUGAGAUGAGUUCCUGUGUUACUUUUGAUGAAUGUUCUGGGUUCCUUAAAUGGGACUUAGAACAGAGAAAACCCAAUCUGAGUGGUG